RNAcentral lists this ribosomal RNA (214 nucleotides) under Megalomyrmex drifti. RNAcentral's name for it is "partial large subunit ribosomal RNA". The record is from RNAcentral. Lineage: Eukaryota; Metazoa; Arthropoda; Insecta; Hymenoptera; Formicidae.
GAAUUUUAUAUAAAAUUUUAUAAUCUAAUUAAUAUUUAAAAAUAUUAAAAUUUUAUAUUUAAUUGGGAGGAUUGUUAAAUUUUAUUAACUUUAAUUAAAAUAAAUAAUAUAAAUUAAUAAAUUAAAGAAUGAUUAAUAAGUUAAAUAAAAAUUAAUUACCUUAGGGAUAACAGCAUAAUAUUUUUGGAGAGAACAUAUCGAUAAAAGUGUUUGU